UACGGAGGGGGCAAGCGUUAUUCGGAAUUAUUGGGCGUAAAGGGUGCGCAGGCGGCGCGGAAAGUAGGGUGUGAAAUCCCUCGGCUCAACCGAGGAAUUGCGCCCUAAACUACCGUGCUCGAGGGAGAUAGAGGUGAGCGGAACUUAGGGUGGAGCGGUGAAAUGCGUUGAUAUCCUAAGGAACACCGGUGGCGAAAGCGGCUCACUGGAUCUCUUCUGACGCUGAGGCACGAAAGCUAGGGUAGCGAACGGG
This 253-nucleotide ribosomal RNA is filed under the name uncultured bacterium. RNAcentral describes it as "partial 16S ribosomal RNA". It matches the Rfam family "Bacterial small subunit ribosomal RNA", at positions 524 to 776 of the family's 1533-position model. The record is from RNAcentral.